AGACCCGAAACCCGGUGAUCUAGCCAUGGGCAGGUUGAAGGUUGGGUAACACUAACUGGAGGACCGAACCGACUAAUGUUGAAAAAUUAGCGGAUGACCUGUGGCUGGGGGUGAAAGGCCAAUCAAACCGGGAGAUAGCUGGUUCUCCCCGAAAGCUAUUUAGGUAGCGCCUCGUGAAUUCAUCUCCGGGGGUAGAGCACUGUUUCGGCUAGGGGGCCAUCCCGGCUUACCAACCCGAUGCAAACUGCGAAUACCGGAGAAUGUUAUCACGGGAGACACACGGCGGGUGCUAACGUCCGUCGUGAAGAGGGAAACAACCCAGACCGCCAGCUAAGGUCCCAAAGUCAUGGUUAAGUGGGAAACGAUGUGGGAAGGCCCAGACAGCCAGGAUGUUGGCUUAGAAGCAGCCAUCAUUUAAAGAAAGCGUAAUAGCUCACUGGUCGAGUCGGCCUGCGCGGAAGAUGUAACGGGGCUAAACCAUGCACCGAAGCUGCGGCAGCGACGCUUAUGCGUUGUUGGGUAGGGGAGCGUUCUGUAAGCCUGUGAAGGUGGCCUGUGAGGGUUGCUGGAGGUAUCAGAAGUGCGAAUGCUGACAUAAGUAACGAUAAAGCGGGUGAAAAGCCCGCUCGCCGGAAGACCAAGGGUUCCUGUCCAACGUUAAUCGGGGCAGGGUGAGUCGACCCCUAAGGCGAGGCCGAAAGGCGUAGUCGAUGGGAAACAGGUUAAUAUUCCUGUACUUGGUGUUACUGCGAAGGGGGGACGGAGAAGGCUAUGUUGGCCGGGCGACGGUUGUCCCGGUUUAAGCGUGUAGGUGUGUGUUCCAGGUAAAUCCGGUUCACUUUAACACUGAGGCGUGAUGACGAGGCACUACGGUGCUGAAGCAACAAAUGCCCUGCUUCCAGGAAAAGCCUCUAAGCAUCAGGUAACAUCAAAUCGUACCCCAAACCGACACAGGUGGUCAGGUAGAGAAUACCAAGGCGCUUGAGAGAACUCGGGUGAAGGAACUAGGCAAAAUGGUGCCGUAACUUCGGGAGAAGGCACGCUGACACGUAGGUGAAGUGAUUUACUCAUGGAGCUGAAGUCAGUCGAAGAUACCAGCUGGCUGCAACUGUUUAUUAAAAACACAGCACUGUGCAAACACGAAAGUGGACGUAUACGGUGUGACGCCUGCCCGGUGCCGGAAGGUUAAUUGAUGGGGUCAGCGCAAGCGAAGCUCCUGAUCGAAGCCCCGGUAAACGGCGGCCGUAACUAUAACGGUCCUAAGGUAGCGAAAUUCCUUGUCGGGUAAGUUCCGACCUGCACGAAUGGCGUAAUGAUGGCCAGGCUGUCUCCACCCGAGACUCAGUGAAAUUGAACUCGCUGUGAAGAUGCAGUGUACCCGCGGCAAGACGGAAAGACCCCGUGAACCUUUACUAUAGCUUGACACUGAACAUUGAGCCUUGAUGUGUAG
This 1450-nucleotide ribosomal RNA is filed under the name Salmonella enterica. RNAcentral describes it as "partial 23S ribosomal RNA". It matches the Rfam family "Bacterial large subunit ribosomal RNA", at positions 711 to 2141 of the family's 2925-position model. RNAcentral also lists the same sequence under 3 other names. Lineage: Bacteria; Pseudomonadati; Pseudomonadota; Gammaproteobacteria; Enterobacterales; Enterobacteriaceae. The record is from RNAcentral.